Molecule: ribosomal RNA, 252 nt
Filed under: uncultured bacterium
Lineage: Bacteria
Description: partial 16S ribosomal RNA
Rfam family: Bacterial small subunit ribosomal RNA
Source: RNAcentral
UACGUAGGGGGCAAGCGUUGUCCGGAAUCAUUGGGCGUAAAGAGCGUGUAGGCGGCUCGGUAAGUCCGCUGUGAAAGUCCAGGGCUCAACCCUGGAAUGCCGGUGGAAACUGUCGGGCUAGAGUCCGGAAGAGGCGAGUGGAAUUCCUGGUGUAGCGGUGAAAUGCGCAGAUAUCAGGAGGAACACCAAUGGCGAAGGCAGCUCGCUGGGACGGUACUGACGCUGAGACGCGAAAGCGUGGGGAGCAAGCAG